ACAGAUAGACGUCUUCCCCUUUUUUAGUUCGCUUUGAACCGACCGUUUCUUCUUUUCUUCUCAUCCUCUUUUUUUUAGUGGAUGACUCUUCUGUGUCCUCGUCCCUGUCUGACUUCCUGUCGUGACAGCGGGUGGACAGUUUAAAAACAAUGCCCCGCAGCUUCACAGGCGCUCUCUGUGAAAGGGACUCUGUCUCUCGGCGUUCCCGUUUUGAAAGAUCCUGCGCUUAAACCCGACGAGGUUUUCGAAAGCAGGACCGAAGACGACCCGAAUGAGGGAACAGAGGGAAGCGCUCCUCUGAGAAGCCCGAGUGAGAGACAGGUCUCUCGCACCUGCGCUCACCUGAGACCAGCCUAUCCAGUCACAACUCAGCAUGAUGGCCACCCCACCAAAUACCUAACCGUAGACUGAGGCUCUCAGUGAAGUAACCAGCGUAGAAGCACAAGGACCCCAGUGACUGCAGCCAGCCAGCGACUAUUUUACACCUUCCUGCAGUCCUGGAGUUACUGAGACUAUUUUCCACCCUCCUGGAGUUACUGAGACUAUUUUACACCCUCCUGGAGUUACUGAGACUAUUGUCCACCCUCCUGGAGUUACUGAAACUAUUUUACACCCUCCUGCCUUCCUGGAGUUCCUUAGACUAAUUUUCACUCCAAUAUAUUUUCCAAAAUAUUUAAUCGUUAUUUUUUUAACUAUAUCAAAAAAGUAUAUCGUUUUAAAAAAAUAUAUUACCUCUAUCAGUCUUUGUUCACCUCUGUUAUACUGCUUGUUAAUAAUAUUAUUUUUGCAGUUCUCUCUACAUGUUUCUGUCAUUUAAAUAGAUUACAAAAUAAAAAAAAAUUAAAAACAUUUAGUCAGAAAAAAGCGCAAUAAAGAUUCUUUAUGGUCAGCUACAGUGCAUUGGCCUGUACAGCUGGAGUUUUUCUCUACUGCCCAU
This is a long non-coding RNA of Anguilla rostrata (American eel), 937 nucleotides long. RefSeq lists it as uncharacterized. Lineage: Eukaryota; Metazoa; Chordata; Actinopteri; Anguilliformes; Anguillidae. The transcript has 3 exons. The record is from RefSeq and is a predicted model, not a curated record.